This 164-nucleotide unclassified non-coding RNA is filed under the name uncultured Myrothecium. RNAcentral's name for it is "sequence contains ITS1". RNAcentral also lists the same sequence under 1 other name. The record is from RNAcentral. Lineage: Eukaryota; Fungi; Ascomycota; Sordariomycetes; Hypocreales.
CCGAGUUUACAAACUCCCAACCCUAUGUGAACCUUACCUAUCGUUGCUUCGGCGGGCUUAGCCCCCGCGCCUUCGCCGGCGCCGGGAAACAGGCGCCCGCCGGAGACCCAAACUCAAUGUUUUUCAUGCAGUAUUAUCUGAGUGGCAAACGCAAAAAUAAAUCA